CAGUAGCCGCGGGAACACGAAGGGUGCAAGCGUUACUCGGAAUUACUGGGCGUAAAGCGUGCGUAGGUGGUGGUUUAAGUCCGUUGUGAAAGCCCUGGGCUCAACCUGGGAAUUGCAGUGGAUACUGGAUCACUAGAGUGUGGUAGAGGAUAGUGGAAUUUCCGGUGUAGCAGUGAAAUGCGUAGAGAUCGGAAGGAACAUCUGUGGCGAAGGCGACUAUCUGGGCCAACACUGACACUGAGGCACGAAAGCGUGGGGAGCAAACAGGAUUAGAGACCCCCGUAGUCCCUGUCUCUUAUAC
This 301-nucleotide ribosomal RNA is filed under the name uncultured bacterium. Its description in RNAcentral is "partial 16S ribosomal RNA". It matches the Rfam family "Bacterial small subunit ribosomal RNA", at positions 509 to 807 of the family's 1533-position model. The record is from RNAcentral.